UGUCACAUGCCCAGCUUCCUGCCAACUC
RNAcentral lists this non-coding RNA (28 nucleotides) under Mus musculus (house mouse). The record is from RNAcentral. Lineage: Eukaryota; Metazoa; Chordata; Mammalia; Rodentia; Muridae.